This 573-nucleotide ribosomal RNA is filed under the name uncultured Alphaproteobacteria bacterium. RNAcentral's name for it is "partial 16S ribosomal RNA". The record is from RNAcentral. Lineage: Bacteria; Pseudomonadati; Pseudomonadota; Alphaproteobacteria.
ACGUCGCAUGCUUGCGGGCGCCAUGGCGGCCGCGGGAAUUCGAUUGUAUUACCGCGGCUGCUGGCACGAAGUUAGCCGGGGCUUAUUCUUGCGGUACCGUCAUUAUCUUCCCGCACAAAAGAGCUUUACAACCCUAGGGCCUUCAUCACUCACGCGGCAUGGCUGGAUCAGGCUUGCGCCCAUUGUCCAAUAUUCCCCACUGCUGCCUCCCGUAGGAGUUUGGGCCGUGUCUCAGUCCCAAUGUGGCUGAUCAUCCUCUCAGACCAGCUACUGAUCGUCGCCUUGGUGAGCCGUUACCUCACCAACUAGCUAAUCAGACGCGGGCCAAUCUUUCGGCGAUAAAUCUUUCCCCGUAAGGGCGUAUCCGGAAUUAGCACGAGUUUCCCCGAGUUGUUCCGAACCGAAAGGCAUAUUCCCACGUGUUACUCACCCGUCCGCCACUGACGUAUUGCUACGCCCGUUCGACUUGCAUGUGUUAAGCCUGCCGCCAGCGUUCGUUCUGAGCCAUGAUCAAACUCUAAUCACUAGUGAAUUCGCGGCCGCCUGCAGGUCGACCAUAUGGGAGAGCUCCCA